UCUCAACUAGUCUAUCUAUCUCCCUCUCUCUAGCUCUCUCUUUAGAAGCUUCUUUUCUCCCCUCAUCUCCGAUGGACCUUGUCCAUCUUCUUCGAUCACGUCCCUUGCCGGAAACCAUAGCCUCUAAUCAUAUCAUGGCAUCUGCUUUACCCCACACCGGUUUGACACUACACUGAGGUGCUCAGGUGAACCUGGAGCGGUUCAACUCCUAUCCAUGGUCGGCCGUUCAAGUAAGAUCUAUGACUUUUCCGGCUAAAAACGGUAAUAUUUUAAGGUUUUCUCAUCUUCUCUGGGUUCUCUGAAACCCUAACUCUUAAGAUUUUCCUAUUUCAUUUAGAUCUUUCUUAGGUCUGUGUAUAUUAUGA
Molecule: long non-coding RNA, 365 nt
Filed under: Nicotiana benthamiana
Lineage: Eukaryota; Viridiplantae; Streptophyta; Magnoliopsida; Solanales; Solanaceae
Description: long non-coding RNA (NBEN_LNC007180)
Source: RNAcentral